Molecule: non-coding RNA, 1303 nt
Organism: Vicugna pacos (alpaca)
Lineage: Eukaryota; Metazoa; Chordata; Mammalia; Artiodactyla; Camelidae
Source: RefSeq, a predicted model, not a curated record
UGGUGGGAGGGAGAGUGAGCCUGAAUUCAACAAAGUUAGAAGCAGAAAGAGGUCGGUAAUGAUUGCCAUGAGGGCCUCACAGAAUUUCUCUACAUUAUCUUUCAUCAUUGUGGUUUAGAGUUUUUCCUUUGCAUCUUAUCUGCACAACCCGAUCAGCAUUAAUGACGAAUUAGUGCUUUGAUCAGUUUUCAUCACACACAUUUUUAAAAGAAAAACAGUGAUAAAAAUAUCACAAACACUUGUUGAGAUGCCAGCAAAUUCAUUUCCAAGUUCCCAUAUGCAUAUGAAGGAAAAGAGGUGUCUGGUCUUCCUGGAAUGACACCAAUUUGGAAAAUUAUCUUGAUUACCCAGUUUUUUUUUUUAAUUGAAUGUUUUCAUGAUACUGUGCAAGCUGUUCCAGAUUUCUCUAGUAAUUUUGAAAACUAGCAUCUCAUUUUAUAACACUGUGUAUUCAUGUAGAUUUAUACGAUGGUUUAUAUAGAGGGACAAUACAACCUUUAGCAAGCAUCCCGUUAAUCUUUAUUAAAUUGAAACAUUUAUUUCUGUACUAUUAUUCUAUUUUUACUUUAUACAGAGAUAAUCCAGUUUUAGAAAAUGAAUAAUCUUUAUUAUAUACUGCUGUGGACUCAUGAAAUAUGAAUUCCUUUGUCUCCCCGUGGGGAAGUCAUUGUCAUUACUGACCAUUUGUCUUAAGAAGCAUUAGGCUUCUACAGAAGAAAGUUUUCACAGAGGUAGACUUGAUAAUUUUGCUUUGUAUGUUUGCUAUCAUCAUUCAACUUUUAUUUGCGCAAUGAAUAAUAUAGUUUAAAUUUUGGAAUAACCCAUUAUUUCCUACAAUAAAACUUCUUUUUCUGGGCACCACUCAAAAGCAUGUUAAGUAUCUCUUUGUUCUUACUGUCAUAUUUUAUUACCUAAUUCCUAUGAUAUUAUUGUCCCCUAUACAUUAGUAAAAUACUUUUUUUCUUUCUUUCAGUACAUUGGACCACUUUUCUGCAGCUAACUUGAACUUAAGGCUCUCAUAAAUGAACACACAAUGGCCGAUGGCAUACACCUCUGUUUCCAAAUUUGGAAAGGUGCUUGGACCAGGCUGUAAGGCUCAACCAACAGAGCAGAUGAUGUAAUUCCAGAAGGCAAGCUGUCAAAGUUUAAACAAAGUCUGUGCCUGACCCUUACUCCGAAAAGUCACAUUAUACUUGUAUGCUUAAAUGAGAAAAUGUCUUUCUGUAAGUUAAAAUCAACCAACCAUCCAACCAGUCUACCAGUCAACAAAAACUCUUUAUGUGGAAGACAGUGUGAUGAAAGA